This is a long non-coding RNA of Sander lucioperca (pikeperch), 529 nucleotides long. RefSeq lists it as uncharacterized. The transcript has 2 exons. The record is from RefSeq and is a predicted model, not a curated record. NCBI's taxonomy places the organism in Eukaryota, Metazoa, Chordata, Actinopteri, Perciformes, Percidae.
UUGUCAGUGUUGCUUAUGCCUUUGCUUCCAGUCAUCUGAACCUGAACCCUAGCCUAUACCUGGGGCCUUUCCCAUUUCCUAAAUGUGUACCUCCUCGACUCCUCGAUACUCCAGGCUUGAUUAUUUUACCUCUUCCUGGAUUUUCACCUGUUUCCUGUUCCUGAACUGCUCACCAGCCAUGCCUAUUCUGGAUUUGUUUGACUGUUCGGACUACCUUCCUGUUGCCAACCUGUAAGCCUGUUCCUGACCUUCGCUUAGUUUAACUUCUCAUCUUGCUGCAGUGAUGAUCACUGUUGGGUGGGCCGCAACAGAUCGCACUUCUGACUGAAACAUGAGUGAAACUUUAAGCCAAAGAGGGAAGCGAACAUUCCUUUUCAGUCUGGUGUUAAGUUGCUCUUUAUUACAUUUGUUAAUGCUUUCUGGUCGACAAACGUAAUUUAGACACUAUUUCUAAACUAUCUCAAACAUAUUAAAACAGGCAUGUUUUAAUUAUUUGGCCAUGAAGAUAUUAAAGGCUUUAUAAACUUUG